RNAcentral lists this small nucleolar RNA (104 nucleotides) under Homo sapiens (human). Its description in RNAcentral is "Small nucleolar RNA U13". It matches the Rfam family "Small nucleolar RNA U13". The record is from Rfam by way of RNAcentral. Lineage: Eukaryota; Metazoa; Chordata; Mammalia; Primates; Hominidae.
AUCCCUUUGUCGUUUAUAAGUGUGAUGAUUGGGUUUUCAUGUUCCUGUGUGAGAUAUGCCUCCUUCAAGCCUUGUUAUGAUGUCUGCACAUUACCUGCCUGUCA